GACGUAGGGCGCGAGCGUUGUCCGGAUUUAUUGGGCGUAAAGAGCUCGUAGGCGGCUUGUCGCGUCGACUGUGAAAACUCGGGGCUCAACUCCGAGCUUGCAGUCGAUACGGGCAGGCUAGAGUUCGGUAGGGGAGACUGGAAUUCCUGGUGUAGCGGUGAAAUGCGUAGAGCUCGGGAAGAACAUCGGUGGCGAAAGCGCUCUGCUGGACUGCAACUGACACUCAGGGACGAAAGCUAGGGGAGCGAAUGGG
RNAcentral lists this ribosomal RNA (253 nucleotides) under uncultured bacterium. Its description in RNAcentral is "partial 16S ribosomal RNA". It matches the Rfam family "Bacterial small subunit ribosomal RNA", at positions 524 to 776 of the family's 1533-position model. The record is from RNAcentral.